UCCUACGGGGAGGCAGCAGUGGGGAAUUUUGGACAAUGGGGGCAACCCUGAUCCAGCAAUGCCGCGUGUGUGAAGAAGGCCUUCGGGUUGUAAAGCACUUUUGUCCGGAAAGAAAUGGCCUGGGCUAAUACCCCGGGUCGAUGACGGUACCGGAAGAAUAAGCACCGGCUAACUACGUGCCAGCAGCCGCGGUAAUACGUAGGGUGCGAGCGUUAAUCGGAAUUACUGGGCGUAAAGCGUGCGCAGGCGGUUUGAUAAGACAGGCGUGAAAUCCCCGGGCUCAACUUGGGAAUGGCGCUUGUGACUGUCAGGCUAGAGUGCGUCAGAGGGGGGUAGAAUUCCACGUGUAGCAGUGAAAUGCGUAGAGAUGUGGAGGAAUACCGAUGGCGAAGGCAGCCCCCUGGGACGUGACUGACGCUCAUGCACGAAAGCGUGGGGAGCAAACAGGAUUAGAUACCCUGGUAGUCCACGCCCUAAACGAUGUCAACUAGUUGUUGGGGAUUCAUUUCUUCAGUAACGUAGCUAACGCGUGAAGUUGACCGCCUGGGGAGUACGGUCGCAAGAUUAAAACUCAAAGGAAUUGACGGCGGGCGGGGGCGGCGG
This 603-nucleotide ribosomal RNA is filed under the name bacterium KC3. RNAcentral describes it as "bacterial SSU rRNA". It matches the Rfam family "Bacterial small subunit ribosomal RNA", at positions 337 to 935 of the family's 1533-position model. The record is from RNAcentral. RNAcentral also lists the same sequence under 2 other names.